GUGUGUGUGCGUGUCUGUGUAUUUCCCCUAAACCUAUGUUCUUUUGUUGGGUUCCUGAGCACGCUGUUGAAAUAUUUCACUUGAGGACAUCAUUACAUUUCAUGGAUGUUGAAGUAUCCUUCCAGGAGCAGCUACUCCACGGCUGUUUGGAUUUAGAAUGCAGCUCUUUUGGGAAGGAAGAGAUAAGUCCUCUUCCAAGAAGUAAGCUUCCCAGAGUGGCCUUGAAGGGCUGAGAUGAGAUUCUUGCAAGAGGUAUUCAGUCCCCACCCGCGUAUUUGUUCAUUAGAUGCCGACCGUAGGCUCUGAAAAUCCACUGUGUGAAAAAUCUCAAGCUGUAGGCUGGCAAGGAGAUUGAGAAGACAGAGAGGGUUUUGUUCCUCAGCUGGCGUCAGAAGAAGCCUAAGCUCUACUCUUGGCCCCACUCAGAGCAGCUGGGCUAAUGCUGGCCCAUGUCUUUGCCUCUCAGCAUCUCAGUUGCCUUAUCCCUAAAGGAGGAAUGCGCAUAGGGGCUCCUACUACAGAAUUCCCAACAGCGAAAGCCUGAGAAGAUGCUACUACUAUACUGUUGUGCAGUCAUUCAACAAACAUUUGCUGAGCACCUACUGUGUGCUGGAUUCUGUUUUAGGCACUUGGGAGACAGCAGGAAACUAGACAAGCAGCAUCCCUGCCUGCCUGGUGCUAACAUUCUGGAAGGUGGAAAAACUCGUCUUUCGAAAGCUAGGAAUCAUUUCUGAUUUUGUUUUGGAAGUGACGUUGGGCUUUUGAUGGUGCCUGGGCCAGGUGUCACAGCUCAUACCUGUAAUCCCAGUGCUCUGGGAGGACAAGGCAGGAGGAUCACUUGAAGCCAGGAGUUCGGGACCAGCCUGGGCAACAUGGCAAGACCCUGUCUCUAAAAAAUAAAAAUGGGGCGCAGUGGCUCAUGCCUGUAAUCCCAGCACCUGGGAGGCUGAGGCAGGCGGAUCACUUGAGGCCAGGAGUUCGAGACCAGCCUGGGCAACAUGGUAAAACCCCCAUCUCUACUAAAAAAUACAAAAAUUAGCCAGGCAUGGUGGCGGGCACCUGUAAUCCCAGCUACUCAGGAGGCUGAGGCAGGAGAAUCCCUUGAACCCAGGAGGUGGAGGUUGCGGUGAGCUUGGAUCGCGUCAUGGUAUUCCAACCUCGGGUGACA
RNAcentral lists this long non-coding RNA (1168 nucleotides) under Homo sapiens (human). RNAcentral's name for it is "HSALNT0196560". The record is from RNAcentral. Lineage: Eukaryota; Metazoa; Chordata; Mammalia; Primates; Hominidae.